UACGAAGGGGGCUAGCGUUGCUCGGAAUCACUGGGCGUAAAGGGUGCGUAGGCGGGUUUUUAAGUCAGGGGUGAAAUCCUGGAGCUCAACUCCAGAACUGCCUUUGAUACUGAAGAUCUUGAGUUCGGGAGAGGUGAGUGGAACUGCGAGUGUAGAGGUGAAAUUCGUAGAUAUUCGCAAGAACACCAGUGGCGAAGGCGGCUCACUGGCCCGAUACUGACGCUGAGGCACGAAAGCGUGGGGGAGCAAACAGG
This 254-nucleotide ribosomal RNA is filed under the name uncultured bacterium. RNAcentral's name for it is "partial 16S ribosomal RNA". It matches the Rfam family "Bacterial small subunit ribosomal RNA", at positions 524 to 776 of the family's 1533-position model. The record is from RNAcentral.